Molecule: small RNA, 919 nt
Filed under: Drosophila pseudoobscura pseudoobscura
Lineage: Eukaryota; Metazoa; Arthropoda; Insecta; Diptera; Drosophilidae
Description: GA31342
Source: RNAcentral
CUGGCCAAGAGAUUUCUUUCCAAUAACAAAAAAAAAUUUACCAUACGCUGUAACGAUUAAAACGGCAACACUGUGCAGAAAAAAUACCACUCACAGGCUUACAGGUACCCACCAUAUAGUCCUGCGAGGAUAUGUCCAGGUCUGUGAAAAAUGACAGCUUCAGAUGUCACAGAAGCAGUACAUCUGGAAUCUAAUGGAAUAGGAUGUGGUUGAUAUACACAGCUUCAGAUGUCACAGAAGCAGUACAUCUGGAAUCUAAUGGAAUAGGAUGUGGUUGAUAUACAUAAAUGGUUUUGCGUCGCUCCGUUGAGGUGAACUGUCGUCAAUAUUUUCUGUCGAAGCGUAGAUACCAAACGCAUGAAUGUGGGGGAGGCGAGCGUGGGAGAGCGAACGCCAGAUUCAACAAGGCCUGAUGCAAUCGCAUGUCAAGUUCCAUUAUCUGCAUCUGUAUCUGUCCCUGCUGUGUGCCUGCACUCAAACAGAAACCUAUUUACACUUGUUGUCGUAUGCAUUAAUUGGUCAUAGCAGCGGCAAAUAAAGUAAAAAAAGAUGGAGAACGGCCAGCGUGUGGGACGGUGGUGCGUCAAUCCAUCGUGUGCAAUGUGGGGGAGGCUGCGCUGCGAAGGGUUAUCCGUCGAGAUGGUUAUUUAUAGCUCUCUAAUUGAGUGAAAGACAGUUGAAAAGUGUUGACACCAUGCCCUACGCUAUGCCUUCCGAUACACAGCUCCAAAGUGCCCAUGAACUGUUGCCAAAACUGUCCAAAACUUUCCCAGCAGUGAAAGAGGGAAUGUUGGACUUGAAGACAGCAGAGAAUUAAGCAUUUAAGAGACCCCCCUCCCCCCAUUUUGAUGGUAUUUUGCAUCCAAUUCCAGUUCACUAAUUAAAUAUUUCAUUUAUAAUUGGCCAAAGACAGCAAGAA